RNAcentral lists this ribosomal RNA (495 nucleotides) under uncultured bacterium. RNAcentral describes it as "partial 16S ribosomal RNA". It matches the Rfam family "Bacterial small subunit ribosomal RNA", at positions 28 to 507 of the family's 1533-position model. The record is from RNAcentral.
GACGAACGCUGGCGGCGUGCCUAAUACAUGCAAGUAGAACGCUGAAGGAGGAGCUUGCUUCUCUGGAUGAGUUGCGAACGGGUGAGUAACGCGUAGGUAACCUGCCUGGUAGCGGGGGAUAACUAUUGGAAACGAUAGCUAAUACCGCAUAAGAGUAGAUGUCGCAUGACAUUUGCUUAAAAGGUGCAAUUGCAUCCCUACCAGAUGGACCCGCGUUGUAUUAGCUAGUUGGUGAGGUAACGGCUCACCAAGGCAACGAUACAUAGCCGACCUGAGAGGGGGAUCGGCCACCCUGGGACUGGGACACGGCCCAGACUCCUACGGGAGGCAGCCGGAGGGAAUCUUCGGCAAUGGACGGAAGUCUGACCGAGCAACGCCGCGGGAGUGAAGAAGGUUUUCGGAUCGUAAAGCUCUGUUGUAAGAGAAGAACGAGUGUGAGAGUGGAAAGUUCACACUGUGACGGUAUCUUACCAGAAAGGGACGGCUAACUACGUG